RNAcentral lists this transfer RNA (83 nucleotides) under Amnibacterium setariae. It matches the Rfam family "tRNA". Rfam says of the family: Transfer RNA (tRNA) molecules are approximately 80 nucleotides in length. The record is from Rfam by way of RNAcentral. Lineage: Bacteria; Bacillati; Actinomycetota; Actinomycetes; Micrococcales; Microbacteriaceae.
GCCGGUGUGGCGGAACGGCAGACGCGGCGCACUCAAAAUGCGCUGUCCGUGAGGGCAUGUGGGUUCGAGUCCCACCACCGGUA